Molecule: ribosomal RNA, 322 nt
Filed under: uncultured bacterium
Lineage: Bacteria
Description: bacterial SSU rRNA
Rfam family: Bacterial small subunit ribosomal RNA
Source: RNAcentral
GAUGAACGCUGGCGGCGUGCUUAACACAUGCAAGUCGAGCGAAGCACUUUUGCGGAUUUCUUCGGAUUGAAGCAACUGUGACUGAGCGGCGGACGGGUGAGUAACGCGUGGGUAACCUGCCUCAUACAGGGGGAUAACAGUUGGAAACGGCUGCUAAUACCGCAUAAGCGCACAGUACCGCAUGGUACCGUGUGAAAAACUCCGGUGGUAUGAGAUGGACCCGCGUCUGAUUAGCUAGUUGGUGGGUAACGGCCUACCAAGGCGACGAUCAGUAGCCGCCUGAGAGGGUGGACGGCCACAAGGGGACUGAGAUACGGCCCUU